Molecule: non-coding RNA, 818 nt
Organism: Schizosaccharomyces pombe (fission yeast)
Lineage: Eukaryota; Fungi; Ascomycota; Schizosaccharomycetes; Schizosaccharomycetales; Schizosaccharomycetaceae
Source: the annotation of a GenBank genome assembly
CAAACAUAAAUAUUUAUCCUUUUUAAACUGCAAACAUUCUUUUCAAACUGUAAUAUUCCAAUCGCCCGACAAGUUGGGCAUAUGAAAAAUCAAACAAUUGAAAACACUGGUUAUGCAAGUCGAUUUGGCUAUCUCACAAUCCGCCAGAAAAGUAUGCAAAAAAUAUAUACAAGGGCAAAAAAAAGCAAAAAGCAAGACAAGCGGUAUGAGAUUAAUAAUAAUAUUGAGUUGUAAACCGAAAAUAUUGAUUCUAAUGCUUAAUAAUUCGAGUUUACGACUACGGUCAUGAGCCUCACUAUAAAGAAGAAUUACUUAGUGAGCCGUUGAUUUAUUAUAAAAGAAUGAUUAAACGUACCUUUUGUUCAAGACUACCAUUCUCCAUUAAAGAUAUGCGAUUAUCUUCCUCUUGAUUAAUAUACAUCUUGAAAGAGGCUAUCUUCAAACCUGUGAAAUAUCAAUUUAUAUAGAGCAAAUGGUCAGAGAAUGAAUGGGCUUUCUUCCAGAAAACGAGUUCACUUAAGCCAGGCAGGCCCUAGUCCUUAUAUACUAUCUAUUUUGCAGAGCUAAAGGGACGAUUGUUAAAGCGGAGAUAAUGUCAGCAAUACUGGACUACUCUAUGAUACACCAUGUUGCGUAUUUCUAUAUGUCACAAGCUCUACAUUGUAUUAUAGAUACCCGUUGAUAAAAACUAUUAGUAAGAUUGUAAAUGGAGCUUCUACUGAACCUCGUUUCACAGUUCAGUUAUGAGCUAUAUCGGUGACCGAUACUAACAGACUUCUUAUAACAAUAAAUAUAAUAUUGUUAGUUAACAUACCGCA